AUAGGUUUAAGUUAAGUAAAACUAUUUAUUUUCAAAAUAAAAAAUAUUGUUAGGGUAACUUAUG
This 64-nucleotide transfer RNA is filed under the name Styela plicata. Its description in RNAcentral is "transfer RNA-Trp". Lineage: Eukaryota; Metazoa; Chordata; Ascidiacea; Stolidobranchia; Styelidae. The record is from RNAcentral.